GCUUAUCGGAGUGUGGUGCAGACUCCAACCCCAUAAUGCACUUGGAUGCAUAUGGGAUAGAAACCAGCAGCUUAUUCACAGCCAGACAUACUUUCAAACUGUCCAAUGUGCCAAACACACCUCUAGAAACUACAUAUGCUAAACUUCACGGCCUCUCCUCUAAGUUGCUGCAAGUGAGCAAUUUGGCAAAGCUUUUUGACCUUUAAAAGCUUAACAUGCUUCCAAUACGUGCCGAGGAGGCUCGGGGUUCCCUAGUAAGGGCCCUGCAGGAGGAUCACAUGCUAAGAUGUGGCAACCAAGUCCCCUUCUCUUGGCAAUGGUCACAUACUUCUUCCUGAACAGAAAGGGAUCCUGGGUCUCAGCAAGUACUCACACAGGAAUCCUCAGCUAAGGAUAUGUUUCCAGAAACCCCCUCCCAACAAUCCUCCCCCAAACCCUUGGGCAGGUAUGGCAGUGGUAUAGUAUGAGGCUAGUGACCAAGUCAGUGGACACAUGCAUGGCCCAGGUAACGUGACUGUGAUCCUCCUGUCAUUGGGGCAGGACAGAGGGUCCUGAGCACACAGGGAGAGAGCCAUUCCUGCCAACUGUGCCCUCCACACCCAGCCAGGACAGACAGACACAGGUUCAGUACCUCCAGAGAUCCACAGAAAGCAAAUCCUAGGCCACUGUCAGGCUACAUGCUGUCAACCUUUAGUGUCACUUUCCAUGAAUAAAACACACAACAGUAUAUCCAAAACAGAACUGAUCUGCCUCCCUGGACAACUCCAGGAUGGGGUGACACAAGCUAGGACUCCUGGUUUUGGAAAAAGCCCCUACUUCGUGAAGCAACUCUGUAUUAGAGCACCAGCAACUGACCCCAGUCCUGGGCUGCACCCAGCACCCUCCACCCAGGAGCAAACCUCACCAACAUUCCUGCACUCACCUUCACAACUAGGUCCCCUUAUUUUUCCCACCCUACAGAUGGGGAGAUGGAGGCUCAGAAGGCAGUGACGGUGCAGCAAGCCUGGGCCAGGGUAGCAGGCUCUGAAACCUAUGCUACGGCCAUCAUUGAGGGCCCCAGAAUGUACCAGGGACCAUGCCGGGUAGGACUCUAGGCCCUAUGGUGCAGUGGGUCCACCAUGAGGAUCCUGCCUCCCUGCCCCCCUGCACUGGAAACAGCCCCCCACUCUCAUAGCAAGAUGAGGCCUCUCUAGAGAUGUUCUGAGGGCCCC
This 1211-nucleotide long non-coding RNA is filed under the name Marmota monax (woodchuck). Lineage: Eukaryota; Metazoa; Chordata; Mammalia; Rodentia; Sciuridae. The record is from RNAcentral.